AAUGAACGCUGGCGGCAUGCCUAACACAUGCAAGUCGAACGACAGCACGGGUGCUUGCCCCUGGUGGCGAGUGGCGAACGGGUGAGUAAUACAUCGGAACAUGUCAUGUAGAGGGGGGGAGUCCGGUGAAAGCAGGAUUAAUACCGCCUACGAACUACGGGUGCAAGCGGGGGCCCUUCUGGCAUCGGGUUUUAGGGUUGGUCGAAGGCUGAUUAGCUAGUCGGUGGGGUAAAGGCUUACCAAGGCUACGACCAGUAGCUGAUGUGUGAGCGAGACCCGCCACACGGGCACUGAGACACGUCCCAGACUCCUACGGGAGGCAGCAGUGGGGAAUUUUGCACAAUGGGCGAAAGCCUGAUCCAGCAAUGCCGCGUGAGUGAAGAAGGCCUUCGGCUUGUAAAGCACUGUUGUCCGGAAAGAAAUCCUUCGCACUAAUCCGGUCUGGUGAUGACGGUACCGGAAGAAUAAGCACCGGCUAACUACGUG
This 486-nucleotide ribosomal RNA is filed under the name uncultured bacterium. Its description in RNAcentral is "partial 16S ribosomal RNA". It matches the Rfam family "Bacterial small subunit ribosomal RNA", at positions 29 to 507 of the family's 1533-position model. The record is from RNAcentral.